Long non-coding RNA from Mandrillus leucophaeus (drill), 1176 nucleotides. RefSeq lists it as uncharacterized. The record is from RefSeq and is a predicted model, not a curated record. NCBI's taxonomy places the organism in Eukaryota, Metazoa, Chordata, Mammalia, Primates, Cercopithecidae. The transcript is spliced from 6 exons.
CUAGGGAUUGAAGGUCAGGGUGGAAGCGGCUGCCUUUCUGGCUGCUGUUUUCAAGGUCCUGCUGUCUUUCCAAGCUUUGGCUGGAGAAGACGGAAAUGUCACUAGCAGAUGGGAUGUUACCAUCUCCCAUGCACAUUUGCAUCCACAGUCAUAAGAAAUCCUCACGAUGACUCACAUGUCAGGACCCUCCACUUUUCCACCAGCUUUCCACCAGUGGAAAGAAGCCAGCCAAGAAUCAGCAGCUUCUGGCUACCUGGAUCAGAAGGUUGAUGAAGGCAAUGAAACAAAGAUGGAAAAACGCAUCACACAGGCCCUUACCAGAUGCCAGCAUCUUGAUAUUGGACUUCCUAGUCUUCAGAACACCUGACCAUUUAAAGAAUGAAAAUGUGUUCACAUGAGGAAACCAAGGGUGUGGUCAACAAACCGUUGGAUAAGGUUCCUGUCAAGCAACCCACCUUAUCAAGUGGACCAGGCACAGCUCCUACUUAUACCUGAGUAGUGGGUGUCAGUUUCCUGCUAGGCUCGGAAUUGUUCAAAGCCCAUCAGAUUCUCCUGCAGGAACCGGGGGCACUUCACCCUCUUGUUGCUACAAAGCUUGCCACCCACAGCCCCUGCCUGUUCACCCUGCUCCUGAGGGCAACCCCUGUGUGGCCGGCAUCCCAUGCUGUGUUCACCUCUCUGAAGCUGAGAGUGUUUGUGAAUAGUAACUGCUGUCAGUCACAUCUGCUAAGCGUCGAGUGUAAUGUCAUCCUCAUAAUUCUAGUGUGGAAUGCCUCCCUCACCAAUGGGGUGAACAGGGGCAACAAAAACAAUGUGUAAAAUAUUUAGACACUGCAAGAUACGUAUUUAGAACCUGGCAAAUGUUAGUUAAGGCCAUUAUUGUUAUUAUUUUGCAAAAGGAUAAUAAUUUGGUUUUCUUUUAAUGAAAUUUGUUUGGACAGAAUGCUUAGCUCAUAGUGUUAUUCUUAGAUUCCUCCAAAGAGCUUUUCUGGAAUUUUCUUUCCCUCAUUAGCAAUUAUAAAGAUAUGCUAAUGCUUUGCACCAAAUGGCAGCUACAUGCUUGAGACCAGCACUGAAAAUUAAUCAUGGAAUCACUGCAUAUCUGAACAAGGGCCACAAGAGGAGGCACAGAUGGGUCAAUGGACUUGACCAGAGCCACCAAGCAAAUUCAGUUUG